Molecule: non-coding RNA, 2551 nt
Organism: Nelumbo nucifera (sacred lotus)
Lineage: Eukaryota; Viridiplantae; Streptophyta; Magnoliopsida; Proteales; Nelumbonaceae
Source: RefSeq, a predicted model, not a curated record
AAAAGCUGUUGAGAAACAAGGGUUUUUACUUUGACAGAAUUGUUACAUUUGCUCUAUUGCUUUGUAUGAACUGCUUGUGUACGUUUGAAGACCAACGAAAGAAGGCUACCUCUACCGUGCAUCCGCUCGAAUUAAGUGGUUCUACAUCUAGUAGUGUCUCUGGCAUCUAGUGUCGGCAUCAUGCAUCCACUCGAAUAGUGGUUGAGUGAACAAUAUGAAUUUCCCAAUUGUUAAGGGAAACUUUGCCAGCGUUCUCAUUCAUAGAAGACAACUCCUCUGCAAACAAAUCGACCCCACCAAAUCAAUGCAACUUACCGGUAGUCUCAUUCUCUUCCUCCUUUUUCUCUUGCUAACAAGUCUGAUUCAUUGAUUUAACAGGGCGACCAAGCACUAUCGUCUUUUUCUAAGUUUGAAGAGUGCUUUGCACAAGAUCAAGCCAAAGGAAAAAAAAGUGUUUCAACAGGGCAACCACAUGGAGGAUUUGCAUGACAUUCAAAAUAGCUGAAUUUGGGUAUCUUAUCAUGUGAAAAAAAUCCUCCCCUAAUUUUCGCCGAAUCAUGUUCUAUUCUCAUUCUUAAUGGUUCAUAUGUGGUGUAGAGAAAGUUGAAAAACUUUAAAAGGUAGCUCAUCCUUCAGCCUUCACCUUCGACAUCAUUUAUGGAAGCAUGAAGCCCAAGUAUCUCAAAGUAACUCAGACUAGUUACAAAGCUUUAUUCAUGCCGUACACAUGAUAAGGAGCAUAAAUUCAUCAAGUUGAUGGCUAGAUUAAGAUGAGGUCUCCUAAAGCAUAUGUUUUCAAGAUUAUGGGAGGCUGUAGCAAGCAAUGUUUUUCCACGAAGUAGAGGUCUCCUCGCUUUGUUCACACUAGAAUGGAGAAUUGCCAUUGGAGGUGUUCAGAUUAGAUCUUCUUUGCAUCUCAUGCCAUGGAAGAUUAUAGGCGAAGAACUAGCAAAAUUUGACCCUGAAAUAGAGAGAACCCUUCGCAUACUGCAAAGAGCCAACAAAAGUAAAGAGAGAGAGGGUUGGAGGCGAACUAGCAGAAGAAGUUAAGGAAGAGAUGGCAGACGAAGCAAAUCAAACUCUUUUGGACUAUGCUUGUCUAACAAUUGAUGGGGCUACUUCUAGCAUUUGCAAACCAACAAUCCAAGCCAAUAAUUUUGAGAUCAAGCUUGCAAUCAUUCAAAUGAUCUAAACGAGUAUUCAGUUUAGUGGGUUGCCGAGUGAUGAUCCUAAUGCACAUCUUGUUAACUUCCUGGAAAUAUGUGACACAUUCAAGCAUAAUGGAGUUAGCGAUGAUGCUAUUAGGCUUAAACUUUUUCCAUUCUCAUUACGUGAUAGAGCUAAGGAUUGGCUUAACUCAGUUCCUGCAAGAAGUAUCACUACUUGGAACGACUUGACUCAAAAAAUUUUGACCAAGUAUUUUCCUCCCUUAAAACAACAAAAUUGAUCAAUGAUAUCAUUACUUUUGUUCAACUAGAGAGGGAAUCUUUUUAUGAGGCAUAGGAACGAUUUAAAGAGAUGCUUAGGAAGUGUCCUCACCAUGGAAUACCAGUUUGGCGUCAAAUACAAACUUUUUAUAAUGGUAUUACUCCAUCUAAUCGCUCCAUUAUUGAUGCAGCUGUAGGAGGCACGAUCAUGAGGAAAACUCUAGAGGAAGCCUAUGAUCUAGUGGAAGAGAUGGUAUCGAAUAGCUACCAAUGGAAUAAUGACUGAGUUGAUCGAAGGGGAGUGCAUCAUCUAGAUUCUUUUUAAGCUUUAUCUGCUCAGCUUUCUAGUUUGAAUAAAAAAUUAGACAAUCUUAGUGUUGCUGCAAUAAAUAUGCCAUCUUGUAAUCCAUGUGAUCUUUGUGGCCAAUUAGGACAUAUAAAUUCUAAUUGUCAGGUAGGAAGUUCUUUUGCUUCACAUGAAUGUGCUAAUUUUGUUUCUCAUGGUGGCAGGACAAAUUUCAACCCUUAUGCGAAUACCUACAACCCAGGGUGGAGGAGUCAUCCGAAUUUUUCGUGGAAUAACAACCAACAAAAAGCACCCAUGGGAUUUCAACAACAGCCGCCCCCACAAGAGAAGGGAAAUUUAGAGGACAUGAUUUCUAAGUUCAUUAAUACUGCUGAAGCAAAGUUCCAAGAUCACGAAAAGAGAUUCUUAAAUCAAGAGGCAUCUAUUAAGAACAUAGAAAUUCAAGUGGGGCAGAUUGUGAGCAUGUUGUCAGAAAGAAGAGAGGGAUGAUUGCCUAUCAAUACAGAGAAGAACCCAAGGGAGCAAGUGAAUGCCAUUGCCUUAAGAAGUGGAAAGACUAUUGGUGAGAUCAAGGAUGAUGAUCAAAAAGUUGAGGUAGCCGAUUCUCAAAUGGAGAUCAAAGGGAGUACACGUAAACUCAAUUUAGAUGCUAUUAAACUUCCUCUCCCCUACCCUAAAAGAGUUUUGAAAGCUAACUUGGAUAAAYAAUUUGAAAAAUUUUUAGAGGUGUUUAGAAAAAUACAUAUUAACAUUCUUCUUCUUGAUGUAUUGUCGUAGAUGCCAAAAUAUGUUAAAUUCUUGAAAGAGGUGAUGUCAA